This 253-nucleotide ribosomal RNA is filed under the name uncultured prokaryote. RNAcentral's name for it is "partial 16S ribosomal RNA". It matches the Rfam family "Bacterial small subunit ribosomal RNA", at positions 524 to 776 of the family's 1533-position model. The record is from RNAcentral.
UACGUAGGGUGCAAGCGUUGUUCGGAAUCAUUGGGCGUAAAGCGCGUGUAGGUGGCUGGCUAAGUCAGAUGUGAAAUCCCUGGGCUCAACCGAGGAAGUGCAUUUGAAACUAGUCAGCUGGAGAGUGGUAGAGGAAGGUGGAAUUCCGUGUGUAGAGGUGAAAUUCGUAGAUAUACGGAGGAAUACCGGUGGCGAAGGCGGCCUUCUGGACCAUUUCUGACGCUGAGACGCGAAAGCGUGGGGAGCAAACAGG